This 465-nucleotide ribosomal RNA is filed under the name uncultured bacterium. Its description in RNAcentral is "bacterial SSU rRNA". It matches the Rfam family "Bacterial small subunit ribosomal RNA", at positions 339 to 797 of the family's 1533-position model. The record is from RNAcentral.
CUACGGGAGGCAGCAGUAGGGAAUUUUCGGCAAUGGGCGCAAGCCUGACCGAGCAACGCCGCGUGAGUGAUUAAGGCCUUCGGGUUGUAAAGCUCUGUUGUAAGGGAAGAACAUUCAGGAUAGGAAAUGAUCUUGAACUGACGGUACCCUACCAGAAAGCCACGGCUAACUACGUGCCAGCAGCCGCGGUAAUACGUAGGUGGCAAGCGUUAUCCGGAAUUAUUGGGCGUAAAGGGUGCGUAGGCGGUUUAUUAAGUCUAUGGUGAAAGUGCGGGGCUCAACCCCGUAUGGCCAUAGAAACUAGUAGACUUGAGUGCAGGAGAGGGCAAUGGAAUUCCAUGUGUAGCGGUAAAAUGCGUAGAUAUAUGGAGGAACACCAGUGGCGAAGGCGGUUGCCUGGCCUGUAACUGACGCUGAGGCACGAAAGCGUGGGGAGCAAAUAGGAUUAGAAACCCUAGUAGUCCG